GGGCCCGCACAAGCGGUGGAGCAUGUGGUUUAAUUCGACGCAACGCGCAGAACCUUACCAGCCCUUGACAUCCCGGUCGCGGACUCCAGAGACGGAGUUCUUCAGUUCGGCUGGACCGGAGACAGGUGCUGCAUGGCUGUCGUCAGCUCGUGUCGUGAGAUGUUGGGUUAAGUCCCGCAACGAGCGCAACCCCCGUCCUUAGUUGCUACCAUUUAGUUGAGCACUCUAAGGAGACUGCCGGUGAUAAGCCGCGAGGAAGGUGGGGAUGACGUCAAGUCCUCAUGGCCCUUACGGGCUGGGCUACACACGUGCUACAAUGGCGGUGACAAUGGGAAGCGAAGACGCAAGUCCUAGCAAAUCUCAAAAAACCGUCUCAGUUCGGAUUGGGCUCUGCAACUCGAGCCCAUGAAGUUGGAAUCGCUAGUAAUCGUGGAUCAGCAUGCCACGGUGAAUACGUUCCCGGGCCUU
RNAcentral lists this ribosomal RNA (468 nucleotides) under uncultured bacterium. RNAcentral's name for it is "bacterial SSU rRNA". It matches the Rfam family "Bacterial small subunit ribosomal RNA", at positions 917 to 1382 of the family's 1533-position model. The record is from RNAcentral.